RNAcentral lists this ribosomal RNA (370 nucleotides) under uncultured fungus. Its description in RNAcentral is "eukaryotic LSU rRNA". It matches the Rfam family "Eukaryotic large subunit ribosomal RNA", at positions 40 to 398 of the family's 3401-position model. The record is from RNAcentral. Lineage: Eukaryota; Fungi.
AUAUCAAUAAGCGGAGGAAAAGAAACCAACAGGGAUUGCCUCAGUAACGGCGAGUGGAGCGGCAACAGCUCAAAUUUGAAAUCUGGCUCUUCAGGGUCCGAGUUGUAAUUUGUAGAAGGAUGCUUCGGGCUGUGGCUCCGGUCUAAGUUCCUUGGAACAGGACGUCAGUAGAGGGUGAGAAUCCCGUAUGCUGGACUGGGUGCCUUACGCCUAUGUGAAGCUCUUUCGACUGAGUCGGAGUUGUUUGGGAAUGCAGCUCAAAAUGGGUGGUAAAUUUCAUCUAAAGCUAAAUACUUGGCCAGAGACCGAUAGCGCACAAGUAGAGUGAUCGAAAGAUGAAAAGCACUUUGGAAAGAGAGUUAAACAGUAC